GUUUGCUAGUUUUAUUCAGUUUACUCUUAGCCAAACGAACUAAAAUUAAUUAAACCAGCUAAUGCUAUGGUCAACUUGUUCCAUUAACAUCUGGAUUCGACGAUUCAUUAAUUGGAAAACAUCAAAUAUAUGUGCAUAUAAGCAUAGUGAUAACUCAAAGUUGAACUUAUCUGAUUUGUGAAAAAAAUGAGUGAGAAACAAAAGAAAGAGAUGAAAAAAAUCAGAAGGAUAGCACAAAGAGGAACAUGAUAGUCGGAUCUACGAUGGUAAGAGGGGGGUCAUGUGAUGAUGAUUCACGGCAACAUAGCUUCUACUGGAGGAACUGCUCUUUUCGACUAGACGUCGGCGGAGAAGGAGAGACCGUGGAACCAGCGACUAGACGGCGGCGGUAUUGUGUAGUAAGAUUGGCACGAAAUGAUUCCAAUACCAUGGGCCUUUGCCUUUUAUUGUAUUUGUUCUCACAAGCAAACUGAAACAGAGAUGAAUAGAGUAAUGAGGAAGAGUUUGAUCAUGAGAGAACAACAUCAGCUACACCAUGGCAAUCGUGAAAAAGGAGAAGAAAUACAUGUGAAGAAGAUGAUCAAUUUUUUUAAAAAAUAAUGUCACAUUGGUUUGGUGUAAUAGUAGAAAUGAAAUUAUAUGUCACAUUGGUGUCUAUUAGCAAGUUUCUCAUGAAGGAAACUUGUGAUGGGGCAAACUUGCAAAGACAGUCAGCUCGAGACUGCUCUGUAGAGAAGGUAAAGGAUUGAGCGUAACAAGUUGUGCAACUCAUUCUUACUGUUGAAUGUUGAAUCUGAGAGAGAAAUU
RNAcentral lists this long non-coding RNA (807 nucleotides) under Brassica napus (rape). RNAcentral's name for it is "long non-coding RNA (BNAP_LNC005118)". Lineage: Eukaryota; Viridiplantae; Streptophyta; Magnoliopsida; Brassicales; Brassicaceae. The record is from RNAcentral.